Sinocyclocheilus rhinocerous is the source of this 84-nucleotide long non-coding RNA. RefSeq lists it as uncharacterized. The transcript is spliced from 3 exons. NCBI's taxonomy places the organism in Eukaryota, Metazoa, Chordata, Actinopteri, Cypriniformes, Cyprinidae. The record is from RefSeq and is a predicted model, not a curated record.
AAACAUUUGAAAUUUGUGUCAAUAAGUCAUAAAUAGAUUGCAGUAGCAGUUUUCUGUCGGGGAUUUGUCGUGUCGUGCCGCGCC